RNAcentral lists this transfer RNA (68 nucleotides) under Microtus richardsoni (water vole). RNAcentral describes it as "tRNA-His". It matches the Rfam family "tRNA". From Rfam's summary of the family: Transfer RNA (tRNA) molecules are approximately 80 nucleotides in length. Their secondary structure includes four short double-helical elements and three loops (D, anti-codon, and T loops). Further hydrogen bonds mediate the characteristic L-shaped molecular structure. tRNAs have two regions of fundamental functional importance: the anti-codon, which is responsible for specific mRNA codon recognition, and the 3' end, to which the tRNAs corresponding amino acid is attached (by aminoacyl-tRNA synthetases). tRNAs cope with the degeneracy of the genetic code in two manners: having more than one tRNA (with a specific anti-codon) for a particular amino acid; and 'wobble' base-pairing, i.e. permitting non-standard base-pairing at the 3rd anti-codon position. Lineage: Eukaryota; Metazoa; Chordata; Mammalia; Rodentia; Cricetidae. The record is from RNAcentral.
GUUAAUAUAGUUUAAAAAAAAUACCGGACUGUGAAUCUGGAGAUAAGGUGUUACUACCUUUAUUUACC